UCCAAUUAGACACAUGCAUAAAAGACAUUUAAAAGGCAUAAAAAGACAAUCAGAUUUCAUAAAUGUUUAAAAAAUGAGUGAUUUUGUAUGUAAAUAAGUUAAAAGAGCCACAAAGUUCAUUCAGUUAAAAAACAUAGAAUUCAUUUGAAAUGUAUUUACAGUGUAAAAUGUAUAAAGUUCAUUUAUGUGUGAAAUUGAAAGAGAUAAAUAAGUUUGGUUUCAUUGUUUCCUUAAAAGAUGUGCACACUAUCUUGAUUUUGUUUCAGUUGUCAUUCAUGGUGUUUUUUUUGUUGUCACUGGUUUGGUUGUGACUUAAUAGCCAAUCAGAGAUCUUCUUUUGCGUAAGGGGCGGGACAAGUGGCGCACGGUGCUGUAACAGGAAGAAAAAUAGAUCUCUCUCAUGUCAGCCGUGAUCGGCGAGGAAACAUCGUGAUUUGUGGAGAACAUUCAAGUUAUAUGGAAGAUUGACUACCAGUUGAUCCAGAGUGUGACUGUUGUGAUCUGCAUCAGAUGUGGACUGAGAGAGAGCCGGUUGGAGCGUCGACCAGAGGCCCGGCGGAGUUUCUGCUGUUUCUUCAGUGUUAUCUUCAGUUUCGUUUCUUCAAUGAUAUCUUCAGCUUCGUUUCUUCAGUGAUCUGAGUUUGUUUCAUCUCAUCAUCAUCAUCUUCACAAAAGACCAUCUACUCCUCUGUGCCCUUGUGACUGCUACCACUCGUUUCCCCAUUCAUCCUAUUAACCCCCUUGGAUCCGUGAGUACUCAAAAGAAUUACUAAAAGUGCACAUUUUAUUUUCUGUUGCUCAAUUUGGAGUGAAGCGGCCCCACAGUUUCUGGCCUCACCGCUCCCCAGCUUCGAAUCAGGCCUGCAACAUGGUCAUUUGCAAAGUGAAUGUUUGAGGAGUGUGUGAGUGUGGGCCCACAAAUUUGAUUUAUGUUGGUUUUGUUGUUGUGAUAUAAAUAUAUCUGGGAUUUUGUAAAUAAUAUCUAAAAAGGU
Long non-coding RNA from Salarias fasciatus (jewelled blenny), 992 nucleotides. RefSeq lists it as uncharacterized. The record is from RefSeq and is a predicted model, not a curated record. NCBI's taxonomy places the organism in Eukaryota, Metazoa, Chordata, Actinopteri, Blenniiformes, Blenniidae. The transcript has 2 exons.